Molecule: long non-coding RNA, 270 nt
Filed under: Helianthus annuus (common sunflower)
Lineage: Eukaryota; Viridiplantae; Streptophyta; Magnoliopsida; Asterales; Asteraceae
Description: sRNA HanXRQr2_Chr08g0341301
Source: RNAcentral
GUUGAUGUAAGAUUGAUCACACAAGACUCAUAAUAUUGACACAAAGAUAAAGGAAAUUGAUGUUGUGGAGACUAUUAAGUUUAGUGGGGAUUUCAGUUCUUACAUUCUAUCUUGUACCACAUCUUCAUUUUUGACAGUCUCCUGAUUUUGGUUUAAUAUUUAUAUACAUAAUGAAUGCAAUGUAAAAUAUAUCAUAUUAGCUAAGUAUUAAUUUCAUAACUAUUGAUGCUUCUGGUGGAUUCUCUUGGAAUGGUGAUCCAAACAAUUUGA